This is a long non-coding RNA of Pseudopipra pipra, 2074 nucleotides long. RefSeq lists it as uncharacterized. Lineage: Eukaryota; Metazoa; Chordata; Aves; Passeriformes; Pipridae. The transcript has 4 exons. The record is from RefSeq and is a predicted model, not a curated record.
UUUGUUGUCAAAACUAUAUGGUACCCCUGUAAUCACGUAGAACAGGAUAAAAGGAAAAGAAGGGUUUGAGAGUGAAUGUAACUGCACCUUUGCCUAGAGCAUACUUGUUAUUUGUAAGUCAGCAACAAUGUUACAUGUACUGCUGAGCACUUAGAGCCCAUAGACAGGACCACCAGUGCUUUAAAGUGCUCAGAAGUGCUAAUUACCUUAAAAAAUAGAUACUUAAUCUCUCAUAUGGAAGUCUGUACCUACGCUUGAAUUUCACUUGUUUGUAUCUUUUUCCCCCCUGCAGUUCUAGAAUGAUGGUGGUACUACACACUUAACUCAGGAGGCAGUCUUUGAAGAAGUUAGGCAUUUGUGAGGAGCAACAUAGAAAGAUAAUCCUAGAAAACACUGCCUAACCUGGAACAAAAAGAACAAAACGUCACACAGCAAAUGUGAUUUCAAGAAAUGAACAUAUUUGGAUUGUGUGCAGUCAGACACACAACUACAAGUGCAUGAUUUCUGAUGGCAUUGUGAAGGAAGUUUUGAUAGGAAGUGAUACUGCUACAAGCUUGGAGAUUGGUCCAGGCAGAAUGACGUAGCUGAAAAGAAGAAAAGAAGCUUUAAAGGGAUUGGAAUAAUGAAAUGGUGCAGAGAGAAAGGAAUAAAGUAGAACAAAUAUAGAUGGGAUGGAGGCUGUGCUACACUGAAGCAAGGUCAAAAGGAGAAGCAAGACGAUUUGACUGGAGAAGUCACACUGGGAGCGAAAGAAUGGAUUUUUGCAGCGGUAUUUGGGGAAGUUUGCAUUUCCUAUCUCAUUCCAUUCCAAAUUCCAGAGAUGGGAGAGAUUCAGAACUCUUUAAGCUGACAGAAAAUUAGAAGAGAUAGAGAAUAUACAGCUGUAUCUUUUAAUCACAAUCCUGUGCUUUGUAUGGCAAGCUAAACCUAGCAAUCCUACAGAAAACUUUUGUUUGUACUCACCAGCACAGCAAACAUAGCUGGUGAUCUCCUUUUCCCCCGUGCCUGUGAAAUCCAACUUUGAAUACUGCAUACCAUUGGACUGUGAUUUCAUGUGACCCUGCAUUCAGACUACAUUUUGGUGGGCUUAAACAUGGGAAUGCCACAACAGCUGCUGUCACCACAGAAUGUUACUGUGCAGUGGAAAGUUGUGAGGAGAAGGCAGGAGACUGCUGGAGGUGGCAAUUGGUGGUGUCCUAGAAGAUCUUCACAGCUGUUAUGUCCUUAGGGCCUGAGGCUGGAGGCAGAUUAGACUUUUGCUAGAAAGAGGAGAACACCCGAUCGGGUAGAAGAGCAUAAGCGAGGUGGCCAUGACUUGUGAAGAGGAGACAGCGAUGAGCAAUUAGAAGAGGUUGGUCUGGAAAAAUCUCAUAUGUGAAACAGUUUCUGUUUGGGCUUUUAGACCACUGAACAGUGUCCAAGUAACUUCAUAUUUGAAUCAUUGAAAAUGAUCGGAGGGCUGGAACACCUUUUCUUUGAGUAAAGACUGAGAGCAUUGGGAUUGGUCACCCUGGAGAAGGCUGGCCUAAUAUCAGAUAUGCAAGGGUAACCCUAUUGCAGCUUUUCAGUACCUGAACAGUGCCUACAAGAAAGCUGGAGAGGAAGUGUUUACGAGGGCAUGUAGUGAUAGGACAAGGGGGAACAGGUUCAAAGUGAAAAAGAGUAGGUUUAGAUUGGAUAUUAGGAAGAUAUUCUUUACUGUGAGGGUGGUGAGGCACUGGACAGGUUGGCCAGAGAACUUGUGGAUGCCCUGUCCCUGGAAGUGUUCCAGGGCAGGUUGACUAGUGGAAGAUGUCCCUGUCCAUAGCAGAGGGAUGGGAACUAGAUGGUCCCUUCCAACUCAAACCGUUAGAUGUUUCUAUCAUUCUAUCAUUUACAAAGUCUUUCUUCUGGAGUCUAUAUAAGUAAUAAGAGGACGAGAUGUUGAAGGUGGAUGUGGGUUUGAUGCCCAGUUCUGUCACAGGGAGCAGUCUUUAGCUUACGUUGAAACUCCCGUUUCUUUCCUGCUUGAGUUUAUUUUUGUUCUUUUGUCCUGUUCAAGUCCAUCGAUGCAAUAAACUCUGUUAAAUUUUAA